CCAUAAUACUGAUAGUAAUUAUUUUCUUUCCAGGAUCAACAUCUGAUCAAUUUAGCUGAAGAUGAGGAGUCGAAGCCACACAAAGUUAAGAUUGUGAAGUAUAUUGCAUUGUAAAUUCUGUUGAUGAAUUGACUGUUGGAAAGCAGCUAUUAUAAAUAAUCAGUGUCUUCGAAACAUUUCAAAGUCGUAAAUAAA
Long non-coding RNA from Ceratosolen solmsi marchali, 195 nucleotides. RefSeq lists it as uncharacterized. The record is from RefSeq and is a predicted model, not a curated record. Lineage: Eukaryota; Metazoa; Arthropoda; Insecta; Hymenoptera; Agaonidae. The transcript is spliced from 3 exons.